CUAGGGACGCGCAUUUCAAGCGCCCGUGUCGUCGGGUCAAACCGGCGACUGCGUUGGCGUUGCGGGCUCGGUCCGUCGGUGCCACUAAAAGCACUGGCGUGUCAACCGGCCCGCCCGUCCCCUCCUUCUGGAUUCCCGUUCCUGCUAUUGAGUUAGGGGGGACGUCACAGGGGGCUCAUCGUCGUCAUGCAAAUGGCGGCGGUGGGUCCCUGGGGCCCAAAUCGUUUACCGUGAAAAAAUUAGAGUGUUCAAAGCAGGCAGAUCCAAUUCUCUGCCACCGAAUACAUUAGCAUGGGAUAAUGGAAUAGGACCCUGUCCUCCUAUUUUCAGUUGGUUUUGGCAGCGCGAGGACUAGGGUAAUGAUUAAUAGGGAUAGUUGGGGGCAUUAAUAUUUAAUUGUCAGAGGUGAAAUUCUUGGAUUUAUGAAAGAUUAACUUCUGCGAAAGCAUCUGCCAAGGAUGUUUUCAUUAAUCAAGAACGAAAGUUAGGGGAUCGAAGACGAUCAGAUACCGUCGUAGUCUUAACCAUAAACGAUGCCGACCAGCGAUUAGGA
Molecule: ribosomal RNA, 553 nt
Filed under: Acanthamoeba genotype T4
Lineage: Eukaryota; Discosea; Longamoebia; Acanthamoebidae
Description: SSU rRNA
Rfam family: Eukaryotic small subunit ribosomal RNA
Source: RNAcentral